UAGUUUAUCAGAUGUAUACCUGCAGGUGU
RNAcentral lists this non-coding RNA (29 nucleotides) under Mus musculus (house mouse). The record is from RNAcentral. Lineage: Eukaryota; Metazoa; Chordata; Mammalia; Rodentia; Muridae.